GACGAACGCUGGCGGCGUGCUUAACACAUGCAAGUCGAACGGAAAGGCCCUGCUUUUGUGGGGUGCUCGAGUGGCGAACGGGUGAGUAAAACGUGAGUAAAAUGCCCUUGACUUUGGGAUAAAUUCAGGAAACUGGGGCUAAUACAGGAUAGGAGCUCCUGCUGCAUGGUGGGGGUUGGAAAGUUUCGGCGGUUGGGGAUGGACUCGCGGCUUAUCAGCUUGUUGGUGGGGUAGUGGCUUACCAAGGCUUUGACGGGUAGCCGGCCUGGGAGGGUGACCGGCCACAUUGGGACUGAGAUGCGGCCCAGACUCCUACGGGAGGCAGCAGUGGGGAAUAUUGCACAAUGGGCGGAGGCCUGAUGCAGCAACGCCGCGUGCGGGAUGACGGCCUUCGGGUUGUAAACCGCUUUCGCCUGUGACGAAGCGUGAGUGACGGUAAUGGGUAAAGAAGCACCGGCUAACUACGUG
Molecule: ribosomal RNA, 468 nt
Filed under: uncultured bacterium
Lineage: Bacteria
Description: partial 16S ribosomal RNA
Rfam family: Bacterial small subunit ribosomal RNA
Source: RNAcentral